UUUUAACCCAAGGUUACCUCAAAUGUUCUACAAAGUCAAGAAUAACCUUGAAUUCCCGGUCGUUCUGCCUCUAUGUCCAGAGAGCUUGGGAUUCCAGACAUGUACCACCACUCUCCACUGAAUACUCUUCCAUUAAGUAUUUACAGAGUGCCUCUAUAUUCCAUAUGUAUUUCUAAGCAAUAGAAAUACAGACUUGGAUGAAUAAAGCAGAAACAGUCUCCAAACAACAGACUGUAUAUUUAGUGAGGGGGAGAACAAAAGAGAAGUUGCACAUGGAAGACACAGCAGGGUUUCCUGAGGUCUCUCUAAGACUCUAUUAAGCAAAGUGCAAAGGCCGCAAGGUCAAGCAUGUGCUGCUCAGUGGAGGUGAUGCUGGAGUUGAGUCGUGAAGGGUUGUACCUGUGACAACUGAAAGGAACGUUCCAGACAUCAUUUGAAAUGGUAUUGUUGUGUGAAUUUAAUUGAGCAUCCUUGGAAAAGCAAAGUGGCCAGAGUAGCCGGAGCAGAAUGUGAAAUGAUGGCCACAUAUCAGCAGGGGAACCUGCUGGACAUGAGGUUCUAACUCCACAGGAGACGGGGAGCCACUGGAGGGGUCUGAUUACAAGUGCCACAGAAUCCGACUUAGGCUCAAAGUGAUCACUCCAGCUGCUAUGAAGAGAGCAGAGUAGAGGAUGAAAGGUUGUGGCUAGAAGAGCAAAUGACUCAUAGGUUAUCCAGGAGUUUAGAAGUUAAGCAACCAAUAGUCCAUAUUUUUCGGUCCAAUUGAAGAGAACUCUCUGGGCUAACUUAAUGCUAUAGGCUUGAACUAUGGGAGGAUGAGUUCAGGAAAGUUUAAACUUGGCUCAAGGUUACAGGCCUACUUUACCUGUUUCUAACACAUCGGAGAGGCAGAUUUUCCUUCCAGCUGUUUCACACAGCCAACCCUUUUAUACCUCGAGCUUCAGGUCCUUUAUGUUGAGACCCUUCUUCUCCUACACAAACUCAACACCUUCCUUCUCGGUAUCUGAGUCUAGACUCUCGAUGCAAGGCUGGAUAUGAAGCAUAAUUCUUCUUGUUCGGUACCACUGUAGAGUGACGAUGUUGUCAGCAAUUAGUUGUGUCUUUCACAACAGCGGAUUGAGAAGAUAUUAAACAUUCUCAACCCAAACUGAUGAUGAUAGCUGAAUCACCAAAAUACUUGAUCUAAUCAUCACAGGCUGCAUAUGUGGACUGAAAUGGCACACUACUCCAAUGGACAGUACUAUAGAACAACACAACAACAAAUCCCUUUACUCUCACUCAAAACAGCAUCAUCAAGGCUUGCUCAGAGCUCGCUUCUUUACCAGCCUCCUUCCCUCUUUCUGUAUUCACAGAACUGAAGAGAGCUUGGGUUUGAAGGAAUGCUGUGGCUACUUUGAUCUUCUACCUAGACCAUGAACACCGUCUCUGUGUCAUCAAUAAGGCUGUUAACUAUGUUAUCACCCACGGGCUUGUUGGAGUUGCACCUUCAAACUGUUCCUUUGCAUUCAAGUGGCUAUUUUGUGUAAGGAGCCCAGUUUUCAAUACAUUUCAGCCCUUGGCAAACUUUCCUCUCUAAACAUAACCAUUUCUAACUUUUGAAUUAAAGUAAGAAAUGUGUGACUCUUCCUUCCAUUUGGA
Non-coding RNA from Cricetulus griseus (Chinese hamster), 1638 nucleotides. Lineage: Eukaryota; Metazoa; Chordata; Mammalia; Rodentia; Cricetidae. The record is from RefSeq and is a predicted model, not a curated record.